This 950-nucleotide non-coding RNA is filed under the name Nerophis ophidion (straightnose pipefish). Its description in RNAcentral is "12S ribosomal RNA". It matches the Rfam family "Bacterial small subunit ribosomal RNA". The record is from RNAcentral. Lineage: Eukaryota; Metazoa; Chordata; Actinopteri; Syngnathiformes; Syngnathidae.
CAUAGGCUUGGUCCUAACUUUACUGUCAACUGUAACUAAAUUUAUACAUGCAAGUAUCUGCGCCCCCGUGAGGAUGCCCUUUAAUCUCUUUUGACAUUAAGGAGCUGGUAUCAGGCACACAAUUGUAGCCCACUACGCCUUGCUAAGCCACACCCCCAAGGGUAUUCAGCAGUGAUUGAUUUUGAGAGAUAAGUGAAAACUUGACUCAGUUAAAGUUAUUUAAAGGGUUGGUUAAACUCGUGCCAGCCACCGCGGUUAUACGUGUAACCCAAGAUGACAGAAACCGGCGUAAAGAGUGGUUAGGGAAAACAAGAACUAAAGCUGAACACCUUUUUGACCGUAUAACGUAUUCAAAAUUAGAAAAUCCAUCACGAAAGUAGCUUUAACCCCCCCCCNNNUGAUUCCACGAAAGCUAUUAAACAAACUGGGAUUAGAUACCCCACUAUGCCUAGCAGUAAACUGAUGAGUAGUUACACCCAACAUCCGCCUGGGUAUUACAAGCACCAGCUUAAAAUCCAAAAGACCUGGCGGUGCUUUAAAACCCCCUAGAGGAGCCUGUUCUAUAAUCGAUAACCCCCGUUCAACCUCACCCUCUUUUGCCAUUACCGUUUGUAUACCGCCGUCGUCAGCUUACCCUGUGAAGGGUUUAUAGUGAGCACAAUUGAUUGAACCUUAUAUGUCAGGUCAAGGUGUAGCUUAUAAGAGGGAAAGUAAUGGGCUACAUUCGCUCACCAGCGUAUUACGAAUGCAACCUGAAAUCUCAUGACUAUGAAGGAGGAUUUAGUAGUAAGGGAGAAAUAGAGUAUCCCCCUGAAGCAGGCGCUAAAGCACGCACACACCGCCCGUCACUCUCCCCUUUUCUACACAACGUUAAAUAAACACCACUUAGAAAACUUAGGGGAGGCAAGUCGUAACAUGGUAAGUGUACCGGAAGGUGUACUUGGCUUACU